This 75-nucleotide transfer RNA is filed under the name Acetobacter aceti. Its description in RNAcentral is "tRNA-Gln". It matches the Rfam family "tRNA". Rfam says of the family: Transfer RNA (tRNA) molecules are approximately 80 nucleotides in length. Their secondary structure includes four short double-helical elements and three loops (D, anti-codon, and T loops). Further hydrogen bonds mediate the characteristic L-shaped molecular structure. tRNAs have two regions of fundamental functional importance: the anti-codon, which is responsible for specific mRNA codon recognition, and the 3' end, to which the tRNAs corresponding amino acid is attached (by aminoacyl-tRNA synthetases). tRNAs cope with the degeneracy of the genetic code in two manners: having more than one tRNA (with a specific anti-codon) for a particular amino acid; and 'wobble' base-pairing, i.e. permitting non-standard base-pairing at the 3rd anti-codon position. The record is from RNAcentral. Lineage: Bacteria; Pseudomonadati; Pseudomonadota; Alphaproteobacteria; Acetobacterales; Acetobacteraceae. RNAcentral also lists the same sequence under 2 other names.
UGGGGUGUAGCCAAGCGGUAAGGCAGCGGAUUUUGAUUCCGCCAUACGGAGGUUCGAUCCCUCCCACCCCAGCCA